GAAUCAUCCGUCAGAAAGCUCCAGGCUCAUCUCAGCAGCUUUUGCAUUUUUAUCUCAGCAAGGAACCUGUCCAAAUUUACUUUCUCCACCCUUCUUAUGUCCGAGGGCUUGGUUUCCUCAGCCAGUUUCUUGUCUGCUCAGGGGGAGAUUUUCCUGAGAAGAGCCACUGCCUUUCUACUGCUCAGCCAUGUUCUUGUUGCUUAUCUCAACACUGGGGAUAUUUGCCCUGCGAGACACUGGAGCCCAGUCCGUGACGCAGCCUGAUGUCCAUGUCACUGUCUCUGAAGGAGCCCCUCUGGAGCUGAGGUGCAACUAUUCCUAUAGUGGAACUCCUUAUCUCUUCUGGUACAUGCAGCACCCCAACCAAGGACUCCAGUUUCUACUGAAGUACUUUUCAGGAGACACCCUGGUUAAAGGCAUCAAAGGUUUUGAGGCUGAAUUUAAGAACCAUGAAACCACCUUCCACCUGAGGAAAUCCCGAGCCCUUGGCAGUGAUGCGGCCAAGUACUUCUGUGCUGUGCGUGACACAGUGUCUGGGACUGCAGGGGGAGCUGAACACAAACCACCAUGGAUGGAAAGGCAAAGAGAAUAUUAAAACAAUCUGAAGAAACAAUACUCCGUUCACCUGAGCAAGAUUUUAUGUGUCCCCUUCCAGUCAUCCUCUUCCUGACAAUGACUGCUCUUAUUGCUAUCACCGAAGAUUGAUUUUAACUGUUCUAGAACUUUAAAUCCGGGAAAUCAUAU
This is a non-coding RNA of Prionailurus viverrinus (fishing cat), 744 nucleotides long. The record is from the annotation of a RefSeq genome assembly. Lineage: Eukaryota; Metazoa; Chordata; Mammalia; Carnivora; Felidae.